RNAcentral lists this transfer RNA (73 nucleotides) under Stegodyphus mimosarum. It matches the Rfam family "tRNA". From Rfam's summary of the family: Transfer RNA (tRNA) molecules are approximately 80 nucleotides in length. Their secondary structure includes four short double-helical elements and three loops (D, anti-codon, and T loops). The record is from Rfam by way of RNAcentral. Lineage: Eukaryota; Metazoa; Arthropoda; Arachnida; Araneae; Eresidae.
GCCUUCGUGGUGUAAUGGUCAGCACACUGAGCCGGUAUUUCAGAGGUCCGUGGUUCGAUCCCCUGUGAAGUCA